This 301-nucleotide ribosomal RNA is filed under the name uncultured bacterium. RNAcentral describes it as "partial 16S ribosomal RNA". It matches the Rfam family "Bacterial small subunit ribosomal RNA", at positions 509 to 808 of the family's 1533-position model. The record is from RNAcentral.
CAGUCGCCGCGGUAAUACGUAGGUCCCGAGCGUUGUCCGGAUUUAUUGGGCGUAAAGGGAGCGCAGGCGGUUUAGUAAGUCUGGAGUUAAAGGCAUUGGCUCAACCAAUGUAUGCUUUGGAAACUGUUUGACUUGAGUGCAGAAGGGGAGAGUGGAAUUCCAUGUGUAGCGGAGAAAUGCGUAGAUAUAUGGAGGAACACCGGUGGCGAAAGCGGCUCUCUGGUCUGUCACUGACGCUGAGGCUCGAAAGCGUGGGUAGCGAACAGGAUUAGAUACCCCAGUAGUCCCUGUCUCUUAUACA